RNAcentral lists this ribosomal RNA (253 nucleotides) under uncultured bacterium. RNAcentral's name for it is "partial 16S ribosomal RNA". It matches the Rfam family "Bacterial small subunit ribosomal RNA", at positions 524 to 776 of the family's 1533-position model. The record is from RNAcentral.
GACGAACCGUGCGAACGUUGUUCGGAAUCACUGGGCUUAAAGGGCGCGUAGGCGGGCUCAAAAGUCAGGGGUGAAAUCCCAGGGCUCAACCCUGGAACUGCCUUUGAUACUGACGAUCUGGAGAUCGGGAGAGGUUGGUGGAAUUCCGAGUGUAGAGGUGAAAUUCGUAGAUAUUCGGAGGAACACCAGAAGCGAAGGCGGCCAACUGGCCCGAUACUGACGCUGAGGCGCGAAAGCGUGGGGAGCAAACAGG